Molecule: ribosomal RNA, 497 nt
Filed under: uncultured bacterium
Lineage: Bacteria
Description: partial 16S ribosomal RNA
Rfam family: Bacterial small subunit ribosomal RNA
Source: RNAcentral
GAUGAACGCUGGCGGCGUGCCUAAUACAUGCAAGUCGAGCGAACAGACGAGGAGCUUGCCUCUCUGACGUUAGCGGCGUAAGUGUUAGUAACACGUGGAUAACCUACCUAUAAGACUGGGAUAAAUUCGGGAAACCGGAGCUCAUACCGGAUAAUAUAGUGAACAGCAUGGUUCAAUAGUGAAAGCCGGUUUUGCUGUCACUGAUAGAUGGAUCCGCGCCGCAUUAGCUAGUUGGUAAGGUAAAGGCUUACCAAGGCGACGAUGCGUAGCCGGUCUGAGAGGAUGACCAGCCACACUGGGACUGAGACACGGUCCAGACUCCUACGGGAGGCAGCAGUGGGGAAUUUUCGACAAUGGGCGAAAGCCUGACGCAGCAACGCCGCGUGCGUGAUGAAGGUCUUCGGAUCGUAAACCGCUUUUGUAAGGAAAGAAAAGGUUUGGACGAAACUCUGCACGACUUGACGGUACCGAAACAGAAAGCAACGGCUAACUACGUG